UUGACCUCGGAUCAGGUAGGAAUACCCGCUGAACUUAAGCAUAUCAAUAAGCGGAGGAAAAGAAACCAACAGGGAUUGCCCUAGUAACGGCGAGUGAAGCGGCAACAGCUCAAAUUUGAAAUCUGGCUCUCGGGCCCGAGUUGUAAUUUGUAGAGGAUGCUUUUGAUGCGGUGCCUUCCGAGUUCCCUGGAACGGGACGCCAUAGAGGGUGAGAGCCCCGUCUGGUUGGAUGCCAAAUCUCUGUAAAGCUCCUUCAACGAGUCGAGUAGUUUGGGAAUGCUGCUCUAAAUGGGAGGUAUAUGUCUUCUAAAGCUAAAUACCGGCCAGAGACCGAUAGCGCACAAGUAGAGUGAUCGAAAGAUGAAAAGCACUUUGAAAAGAGAGUUAAAAAGUACGUGAAAUUGUUGAAAGGGAAGCGUUUAUGACCAGACUUGGACUUGGUUAAUCAUCUGGGGUUCUCCCCAGUGCACUUUUCCAGUUCAGGCCAGCAUCAGUUUUCCCCGGGGGAUAAAGGCGGCGGGAAUGUGGCUCUCUUCGGGGAGUGUUAUAGCCCGCCGUGUAAUACCCUGGGGGGGACUGAGGUUCGCGCAUCUGCAAGGGA
This 601-nucleotide ribosomal RNA is filed under the name Fusarium sp. Utah 1. RNAcentral describes it as "eukaryotic LSU rRNA". It matches the Rfam family "Eukaryotic large subunit ribosomal RNA", at positions 1 to 612 of the family's 3401-position model. The record is from RNAcentral. Lineage: Eukaryota; Fungi; Ascomycota; Sordariomycetes; Hypocreales; Nectriaceae.